AGUGAACGCUGGCGGCAGGCCUAACACAUGCAAGUCGAGCGGCAGCGCGGGGGCAACCCUGGCGGCGAGCGGCGGACGGGUGAGGAAUUCGUGGGAAUCUGCCUUUUUGUGGGGGAUAAUGUCGGGAGACUUCCGCUAAUACCGCAUACGUCCUACGGGAGCAAGUGGGGGACCGCAAGGCCUCACGCACAAAGGUGAGCCGACGACCGACUAGCUAGUUUGUGGGGUAAAGGCUCACCAAGGCAACGAUCGGCAGGUGGACUGAGAGGAUGAUCAGCCACACGGGAGCGGAGACACGGCCCCGACUCCUGCGGGAGGCAGCAGUCGGGAAUAGUGGACAAUGGUGGCGAGCCUUAUCCAGCCAUGCGGCGUGUGUGAAGAAGGCCUUCGGGUUGUAAAGCACUUUUGUCCGGAAAGAAAUCCCUGGGGCUAAGACCUUCGGGGGAUGACGGUACCGGGAGAAUAAGCACCGGCUAACUUCGUG
This 484-nucleotide ribosomal RNA is filed under the name uncultured bacterium. Its description in RNAcentral is "partial 16S ribosomal RNA". It matches the Rfam family "Bacterial small subunit ribosomal RNA", at positions 30 to 507 of the family's 1533-position model. The record is from RNAcentral.